AUGAGUGGUGUUUGGUUUGAUACGGGUGGUCGGCUCCCUGCUUGAGCAGGCACGGCCAUGCGUGCAUUCCUUUUCAGUUGUGCGGCAAGGCUUGUAUCGUCUUGAUCGUAUAAGUGGGUUUCUUGUGUUGCAUACCUGAUCAAUGGCAUCGUUUUGAUCAAAAUGGUACCUUUUUCGUCUGACGAUGCACUUAUUGCGUUGUCGGAUGAACCGUGUAGCAUCCUCUUUGAUCCAUACAGUUGACGUGUACUCGUUGAUUGUUUGGCCCGUUGAGGGUGACUUGGUCUCUCGGAUAUGGAAGCCAAAGUGGGCAUGGGUUCGCAAGAUCCCUUUAUUGCCCUCAUUGAGCGUUCUCGCUUCUCUUACACGACUGCCUUUCACGUAUGGCACGUCCCAGCGUGUUUGGCUAUGUCGAAGAGGAAU
RNAcentral lists this unclassified non-coding RNA (423 nucleotides) under Brintonia discoidea. RNAcentral's name for it is "partial external transcribed spacer". The record is from RNAcentral. Lineage: Eukaryota; Viridiplantae; Streptophyta; Magnoliopsida; Asterales; Asteraceae.